This is a long non-coding RNA of Xenopus tropicalis (tropical clawed frog), 1193 nucleotides long. RefSeq lists it as uncharacterized. The record is from RefSeq and is a predicted model, not a curated record. The transcript is spliced from 2 exons. Lineage: Eukaryota; Metazoa; Chordata; Amphibia; Anura; Pipidae.
GCCAGCGGUAUAAAUGAAGAGGCGCUCUAGUUGUGCCGGUACUUGCGAUCCCUGCGUUCUGUGAGUGGCACCGCCGGCAGAAGCGGCUUUGUGACUCCCCGCGGUUUAUCUUGAAACAUAGGGCGCCAGGAGGCCGAUAUGAAGCCGCGAACAGCUGCCUAUAGGAAACCUGCUGCCCCUCAGGCUCCUGCCCCGCGUCCUCCUCCUCCUCCUGCUGCUGCUGCUGAAGCCGAUGCCGAUCCUAUUAACUUGCUGGUCAUUCAGCUCAGGCUGAUUGGGGAUAAAUGUGACGUCAAACAGAAUUUGCAGAAUCUGCUGGCGAAACUCUCUUCUUCCGGUACUUGACACAAGCACCAAACAACGGGGUAGGAUAAAAAAAAUCUGGAAAAAAAAAAGCAACUUGUGUUCUGCUAUAACAGUCUCUCAGGAAUCUACUUGGGAAAAGGAGAAAACAAUGGAGAGAUUGGAGACCCAUCGCCGGCUGCUCUGAGCUCCAUCUGCAGGAGGGAAUAUCCCCAGUGCAUGCUGGGAAGUGCAGGCAUCACUGACUCUUUCCAUAGGAAACAAUACACUGGAUGAGCUACCCACUGACUUUUACAUUUUACCAUUUUAAAUAAGAAAAGCUGUAGUGAUUGUGAAAUGCUCUCUGAUUGGUGUCUGUCCUGUGUCUUCUGUCAGCUGGACUGUUGGCCUUUAAGCAUCAAUCAAUUGCGGUUUUUGGUUGCGCACUGCUGGGAUUCAGUGGGUUUCUUAAAGCAAUAUUUACAGAUGAUCAGUGCUGCCCGGCUGGAAGCCUUUAGGCCGCCCAAGGGCUAUUUUUAUGGCCCCUGAACAAUAGGUAUAAUGGAUAUUUGCCCUACUAUGUUGGGGAAAUUGGGCAGCACACUUUGUUGUAUUUAAUAUUUAUUUUAACUUUUAUAUUAUGAUUUGUGCUCAACUUUGUUUUAAGCCUAUUAUGUGCUGCAGAUAAUAGAUUCCUAGGCCCUGGCACUUGUUCUGCAGUGGGUUAAAGUCAAGAUGUGGCUUCCUCUGCAACACUGUAGCACUUUUUAAAACUGUGUUUUCACUUUAUUUUUGUAUAUUAUGCAAAUGAAUUGUAACUAAAAAAGUUUUUGUUUUUUUUAUGUGAAUGUAUUACACUGCCAAAAGGCUUCUCCUCUUGCAACAAAAUGGUACCUGUUGUACAAAAAAAA